UCCCCGUUACCGGGGCAGUCUGAAUAGAAAAAUCCAACUAUUCAUAAGGGUUGCGCUCGUUAAUGGACUUAACCAAACAUCUCACGACACGAGCUGACGACGGCCAUGCAGCACCUGUCACCUUGUUCAAUAAAGCACUCUCGCCUUUCGGCAAAAUUCAAGGGAUGUCAAGCCCUGGUAAGGUUCUUCGCUUAUCAUCGAAUUAAAGAACAUCAUCCGCUACUUGUGCGGGUCCCCGUCAAUUCCUUUAUGUUUUAGUCUUGCGACCGUACUCCACAGGCGGGAUACUUAACGCGUUAGCUUCGUUACUGAGGGGGUCGAUACCCCCAACAACUAGUAUCCAUCGUUUACGGCGUGGACUAC
RNAcentral lists this unclassified non-coding RNA (363 nucleotides) under uncultured bacterium. RNAcentral's name for it is "contains 16S-23S intergenic spacer region". The record is from RNAcentral.